CAAAUACUCCCUCCGUCCGGAAAUACUUGUCAUCAAAAUGGAUAAAAGGAAAUGUAUCUAGACGUAUUUUAGUUUUAGAUACAUCUCUUUUUAUCCAUUUUGAUGACAAGUAUUUUCAGACGGAGGGAGUAGAAA
This is a non-coding RNA of Triticum urartu, 135 nucleotides long. The record is from Rfam. NCBI's taxonomy places the organism in Eukaryota, Viridiplantae, Streptophyta, Magnoliopsida, Poales, Poaceae.